RNAcentral lists this ribosomal RNA (492 nucleotides) under uncultured bacterium. Its description in RNAcentral is "partial 16S ribosomal RNA". It matches the Rfam family "Bacterial small subunit ribosomal RNA", at positions 29 to 507 of the family's 1533-position model. The record is from RNAcentral.
AGUGAACGCUGGCGGUAGGCCUAACACAUGCAAGUCGAACGGCAGCACAGUAAGAGCUUGCUCUUACGGGUGGCGAGUGGCGGACGGGUGAGGAAUACAUCGGAAUCUACUUUUUCGUGGGGGAUAACGUAGGGAAACUUACGCUAAUACCGCAUACGACCUACGGGUGAAAGCAGGGGAUCUUCGGACCUUGCGCGAUUGAAUGAGCCGAUUUCGGAUUAGCUAGUUGGGGGGGUAAAGGCCCACCAAGGCGACGAUCCGUAGCUGGUGUGAGUGGAGGAUCAGCCACACUGGAACUGAGACACGGUCCAGACUCCUACGGGAGGCAGCAGUGGGGAAUAUUGGACAAUGGGCGCAAACCUGAUCCAGCCAUACCGCGUGGGUGAAGAAGGCCUUCGGGUUGUAAAGCCCUUUUGUUGGGAAAGAAAAGCAGCAGGUUAAUACCCCGCUGUUCUGACGGUACCCAAAGAAUAAGCACCGGCUAACUUCGUG